CUGAAUACUCGAAGACAGCGCUGAUUUGUGCGUGUUCGAGAGUAGCUAAAGUUAACGUAAAACAAAACUCGAAGAACAAAGGAGGCGCAGCUCCUGGAUAAAUAGAGAAGGGGGCGCAGCCCCUAGGGGCGGCCAACCCUAGGUCGUCCACUAUGGGCCGCAGUUGGGCUGGUCGUCUAUUCUUCUGGGCCCUCGUACUUCAGUAGCAUGACGAAGUUAAGAUCUCUGGCACGGGCCUGAGUGAUUGGCCCAGCUAAUGAAGGAAGUGGCACUUGAUGUGGAGGUGCUGGUGGUGUAGUCGUACUCAUAGUGAUGUCCUCAUCAUCCUCCCAUUCUUGAAGUGAAGUCGUCCUCGACGGCAACUCCUCAUCCUCGGCCAUAUAUGGUUUCAAAUCUGCAACAUUAAAACAAGUGGAAACACCAAAUUCCGCAGGCAGGUCAAGGAUAUAAGCAUUAUCAUUCAUCUUUGUUAGCACCUUAAAAGGACCAGCAGCACGACGCAUUAAUUUAGAACGGCGCAAAGUAGGAAACCGAUCCUUUCUCAAGUGCAACCAAACCAUAUAACCUGGCUCAAAAGCAACAAGUUUUCUUCCUUUACUACCAGCAACCUGAUUUUUUGCAUUAGUAGCAGCAAUGUUCUGUUUUGUUUGUUCAUGUAUGGUAAUCAUUUGUUCAACAUGUGCAGCAGCAUCUACAUGUGGGGCGUUCGUAGCAUUAAGUGAAAUCAAAUCAAUAGGUGCCCUAGGGAUGUAACCAUAAACAAACUGGAAAGGGCACAUCUUUGUAGAAGAAUGUGUGGCAUGAUUGUAAGAAAAUUCAACAUGAGGCAAACAAUCAUCCCAACGUCUCAAAUUCUUGUCUAAAACAGCCCUAAGCAUGGUAGAUGAAGUUCUAUUUACUACCUCAGUUUGUCCAUCAGUCUGAGGAUGACAAGUAGUGCUAAACAGCAAUUUAGUUCCCAUUUUAUUCCAAAGAGAUCUCCAAAAAUGGCUUAGAAACUUAGCAUCGCGAUCAGAGACUAUUGUUUUUGGAAUACCAAGUUAACGAAUAAUUUCUCUAAAGAACAAUUCAGCAACAAUGCUAGCAUCAUCAGUUUUAUGACAAGGUAUAAAGUGAGCCAUUUUAAAGAAUCUAUCAACAACCUAAAAAAUACUGUCCCUCCCCUUCUUAGUUCUAGGCAAGCCCAAAACAAAGUCCAUAGAAAUAUGAAGCCAAGGAGAAGAAGGGAUAGGCAAAGGCAUAUACAAACCAUGGUUGCCCAAACGUGACUUAGUUUUCUGGCAAGUAGUGCAACGUGCAACAAGACGCUUAACAUCACGGCGCAUCCGAGGCCAAAAGAAGUGUGCGGCCAGCACCUCAUGUGUCCUGUAAGCGCCAAAGUGCCCCAUGAGACCGCCUCCAUGAGCUUCCUGCAGCAACAAAAGACAAACCGAGCUUGCUGGAAUACACAACUUGUUAGCGCGAAACAAAAAUCCAUCCUGUAUGUGAAAUUUUCCCUAGGGUUUGCCAUCCUUACAAUGUAUAAAGAUAUCUUUAAAAUCAGCAUCAUCCACAUAUUGAUCUUUCACAGUUUGCAAGCCAAAGAUUCUAAAUUCUAACUAUGAAAGCAUGGUAUAUCUACGGGACAACGCAUCAGCAAUGAUGUUUUCCUUCCCGUUCUUGUGUUUAAUGAUGUAAGGAAAGGACUCGAUGAAUUCUACCCAACUAGCAUGACGACGGUUCAGAUUUGUUUGGGUACGAAUAUGUUUUAAAGCCUCAUGAUCAGAAUGAAUUAUAAACUCACGAGGCCAAAGGUAGUGCUGCCAAGUUUGCAAAGUGCGAACUAAAACAUAAAGUUCCUUAUCAUAAGUAGAAUAUCUCAAGCUAGCACCUCUUAAUUUUUCACUCAGCUGAGGAUCUCUAACCACAUGACAUAUGUUUCUCGUAAACCUUGCAUGUCUACCAUUCCCACGGAUCCUCCACUGCAUGAACAGGUCCGCGCCACCCGAGAGCACACCACCCCUUUUAGGCGGUCCUUUGCCAGGAGGGUACGUGCCACUCUCGCCAUCUCUCCACUCCCAGUGCGCGAUUGUCUUUUCAUGUAUGGAAUAGCCGGGUUCAAGCUUACCGUUGCCCAUUUCCAGGGCAUGUGGCUAGUUAAGAUAGUCCUUGAUCAACAGGCCUACAUACGCAUCCAAUCCUUAACUAACCUGGGUAGAACAUCACCUGUUCCUAGCCCAAGUCCCGAUUUAAGUACUUCCAUCCUUAGGAUUGUUUAUGUUCCUAGGAUGAAAAGAGCAUCAAAGGGAACUUUGCAGUAAGAUCCCACCACACUCUCAAUGAAAAUAUUCUUGCAGAUAGAAGCCAUCUUUCCUCAGGAUAACCCCUGAGCUAGGCCUUAAUGCAAAAGACAACCUCUAUCCACAAGAUCUGAGCAGGGCUAAGAAUUUUUGUAAAUCAGAUUUUGAUACUUCACCAGAAGUAUCUAUAAAGGUAUGGAUAUCAAGGAAGGCAAUGCAUCAAAGGGUUCCAAGCAACUCCUAUAAACCUAAUGCACAUUUCACUAGACUUAAAGUGUGCAAUUUUUUUUUAAAAACACAAGGAAGGGGUUGCAUGCACCGGGGCUUGCAUGUGUAACACUAGGUUAGUGUUUGUUAGACGAUGUCCACUUGACGAUCAUCUUUGUCCUAGCACUUGAUCAGGCAGGUUCGUUCAUCAGCAUCACCAUGUGGAGUAGCCCGCGCUUGGAGUCGACUUGAGUCAUCUUCCGCAUCACGUGAUUAAUUAUCGCACCUGAAUGAAAUGCAUUAUGCAUAUGAAUGCAUAUAGACAGGAAUAUCAAAAACCCUAAAUAGUGCUACGCGAUGGCGAAUUUAAACACCUAGCGGCGAGGCGUUGUACAAUUUUAUACGGAAUCACUAGUUAUUAAUAUAUGAUUAAGCAAACUAAUUACGCUUCUCGUACCUAACGCAAACAUCAUGAACAACAAACUAUACAAAUUUAAUACAAUUAGUCUAAACACAACUUAUCAGCUAAUUGACUUAAAAAUUUAGCUUUACGAUUCUGGGACACCUAAUGUUUAUAAAAUUAUAGAAGAAACUUUAUUAACCUUCUAAACUAUUUUCCAGAUUAAUUUAUAUAACACAUUAGUUGGUUACGACAUUUAUCGAUCAUAAACAUAGACUGAUUAUACUAAAUACUAGAGCAUGACAUCGACUUCUUUAAACAAACAUCAUUCAUCACAGGCAAUACUGACCACGCCUACCAGUAAAACAUUCAAAACACGAAACCUAUCAUUCGUCUUACUAAUACACCAGGUCGCAAAUAUAGAAACGAUUCAAUCCUACUUCACUUAGGUUUACCCACAUAUUCAUCGCAUAAUAGACAUCUAAACCUAACCUUCACAUGACGACUAAUCUAGGACCGUGAUCACAAGCACUUCACAAACAUCUAAUACACCACAACACGCAUGCUACAGACAGGAUCAUUAUCGACCUGCAUAUAUAACCACUCCGGGCAUAGGACCAAUAACAGUGAAUUGGCUUACCACACUAAACUGAACUCGAUGACCGCGAGAACGACGAUGGUCCUGAUUCAGGCGUUUUGUCGAGCACCAAGCAAGCGUUGCACGAGCAAGAUGACGUCGAGGCGUGGAUCAAAGACGGACAACCGGUCCGAAAGAGCGAAACUCGACGUGGAAGCUCGACACGUCGUGGCGAGCAGAGAACUUCGCGCACAACAACGCGACAGAGGAGAACUUCGCGGCAGCACGCGCAGGAACAACGGAACGCGCGCAUAGGGAAAACAACGAGAUGGGAGAGCUGCACGUGACCUUGGCGCAAAGGUACAAGCUCGGCGAGGAAGUAGAGCGCGCACAAGGGAGCAGGCCGGGCGUGGCAGUAGGCGCACAAGCGAGCUUGAGGAAGCGAGGGUGAGCCAGAGACCUACACGGCACGCGGCCAUGGAAGAGGCCUCGGCAACCCGGAGGAAUAGAGGACGUCGGUGAGGAAGAUCCGCGAGCAGAGCACGGCGCGCAACACAGGGAGAAUCGGAGCAGUAGGGCGAGCAGAGCCGGGCUACGAGCUGAGCGAGCGCAUGGUCAUGGAGACGAGGUAGGAGCUCGGCUGGGCACGCGCUGGGCUAGAUCCGCGCACCAAUGAGCAGGGCGGCCAUGGAAGAUGGUGAGGAAGUGCCGGCCAGCAGAGGGAGAUGAGGGAGAGAGAAGCGGGGAGGGCGCCGAGGGAGUUCCAGCAGGGAGAUGGACACCAUUGCAGCAGCCGGUGGAGGACCCCGAGCCCUGGCCGUGCGCGUAGGAGAUGUAGGGCGCGGUCGGGGAAGAAGCCGGGGAGCUGGCACAGCCAUGGUGAACUGGAACAGGGUGGUGAGCAACGGCGUCCGAUACGGUCAACAGGGACGACGGCGGACGGGGCCAUGGCAGGAAGAAUGAAAUGGAGGGAAGGCGCCGGGGGAUACGAGAGAAGCUGAGCUCGCAUACAGGAAUAAGAAGAAGCCAGCGAUGAAAAUAUCAACAGAGCAGCGGCGCAAGAAGAUAAGAACGACGGCUGUGAUCUUCACCGGCGGUGAGCGGCUGGAAGAUGAAGGCUGGCACGAGAUGGAGAAAAAUCAGAGCGUGCCUGUGGGAGAAGAGGAUAAUAAGCGUGCGUCAGGAGAAGAUAAGGAGGAAACGUCACGCGCGGGUGGAAAAAGAUCUGUGGGAGAGCGGUGGGAUUAGAUAGGAUCCUAGGAUAUUUUCUUUUGAUUUUCUUUUCUUCUUUUUUGUUUCGAAAAUCGCAGAUACUUUGAAAUCGGAUAAAAAUUCAUCCGUUAUCUAAACACAGUUGAGUUGAUUAUCCUACAGUGUGGGAUGGAGGAUAAAUUGGAUCAUAGACUUGCGCAAGAUUUCGCGCGAUUCGAAUUAUUUUACCCCGCACAUUUUAGGCGUUGAGCUCAAAUUAACUUGUUCGGGAUAAAAUCGUCCAAGUGGUUCGGGCUUCCGAAUUCGUAUUCGCGCGGCGAUGAAUUUUAAUUAAUCAUCAGACACACCGAUUUUCGGGACAACUAUGUUCCGAACAACACGGAAAUUUCAGAAGAGCACGGACAGAUAAAAAUAAAAACGACGUCGCACUCGCGACAAACGAAACAGAUGCGAUAUAAAAAUCGUGAUAGUCGAAGAUGAUAAAAAUUUAAUGUCCGUUUAUCCACUGAUAUUACGUGCUUAAAUCCAUACUCGUUGUCGAGCAGAAUAUAAACACCUGGGGUGUUACAGCCCUCCCCCUUAAAAGAAUCUCGUCCCGAGAUUCGGAGCGAAAGACUUCUAAGGGUAGAGAAGUAUGUAACCCAUGUUCAUAUCAGCGAUAACCAUAGGCCAAUCCUGAGCGAAGGCGAGUGUCUCAGGAUGUGGUUUCUCCAGUGGACAUAACAUGUAUCGCCUUACUCUACUUUAGAAAUGUCCACCAAUAGAGACGAUGUCUGCCAGAAGAACACAUAAGGUUCCAUGUGUGCAGUUUGCUUUUUCUGAUGACACUGUACUAUCUGAGUCUGCUGGGCGAGCGGUGGAUAUGCGACUUUACCCAAACAGAACCAGAUGCAACCUCUUAGGUAAAACACACAGAAAGAGGUUCACCAACAAGGGGUCACGGUAAGUUCAUAGCACAUGAGACGGGUGUGAAUGUCGUAUAACAUCACAGUUGAUCCGUGGCUAGCCAGAAAAUCCAAGUCCAUGAAAAUGAUAAAGACUUGAAAAAUCACCAGCGGUGAGAUCUGUAAAUGCGGACUUUACGACCAGUCCAUUUCAUCAAAUACUUAGCACGACUCGACUUGAUCACACAUGCUGGAAAAGCACACGUGACAAUCGAGGCAUGACUAGAGUGAUGACUAGGUUGUUAUUGGCCGACUUAAUCUCGAUUCUUAUAAACACUUCCUUUAGGUGGGUUGAACCAAAGUGAGUUGAGAUAACUCGACAAAAUGAUCUCUAGACUCGACCUUUGUUCACAAAGCAAUUACAAGUUAGUAGAACCAACUUGUUGAACUACUUUUGACAUUGAGCAAGUCUCCUCAGUACCAUCGGUAAGCCAACGGUCGAGAGCUCACUCAUAUUAACAAGAGAUUAUGUAUUUGGGUAAAAAUCUAUUUGGUCAAGUUGUUCAUCCGUUUCUUCAUGUGAGAUGAACGGACAGGGUUCGGAAAUACAUGGAUUAAAUAGGGGAGCAAAUGAACAACUCCUGCAUCUCAGCAGCAGGGAAAGUCAAUCUCCAUUUUGAGAGCUAAUCAAUUGUUUUCCAACACUAAAAAGCUCCAAGGCUUUACCUUUACACAAAGGAUGUAAAGGGAACUUAUAUGAGUAGUCACUACCAAGAUCAAAAGAAAUAAGACCACACAUGAAAGUGGUAUGCCCUUUUGAUCCAACGGAGAUGACAGAUGUUGCUUGAUCACUUCACAAACAACAUAAAAAUUAUUUGAAGGGAAGGUCCACGGAAGAUAACCAUCAGGGUAGUUCCACAAUGGAUCAUGACUAGAGACCUUGAUACCAGCAUCCGACGAGUAGCACAAUCCUGUGUGCGCAUUCACAGGAGGCUCUCAGUUUCGCUGCGGCACAAUAAGUCCUUAAUCGUGACACCACUACCGAACUGACACCAAUAAUGAAUCUCACGUAGCAAAAAUAGAUUGUGCCAAGAUAACGCAUUGACAUAGUCUCAUAAUGGAUUACAACUACUAACCAUGAUACCGGCGCGUGCCGAGCAGCACAACCGUGUGUGUGCACACAUAGAAGGCCCUCGGUUUCGUCGCGGCAUCAUCAAUUUUAGUCAUAACACCAUUACCAGACGUAACCAAUAAGAAAUCUCACGUGGCACAAAUAUGACAAUAUAGAAAAGAGACUCCACCUGUAAGAAGGGUUACAAGUAGAGAGCCAAAGAGAUUAUGGCCCAAGGAAAUGAACAAGGCAUGGCCAUAACCUAAACUUGACGAAAGGAGUACGAUGGGAGACUGUUAAUUCAGCCCCAAGCAUAUUUCUAUGCCCAUCGCAGAGAUUACAAGUCAAGGAUUAGUAUCUGAUUAGAUACGGAGAGAAAACAAUCAUAAGAUUAAGUUGGUAUGCCUUCGAUAGAUAUGAGGAAACCAAAGGCAUCAAAUUCAAGAAAAUGGCCAGAUAUGUCUUUCCUAAGUUAGGUUGAUAAGGUAACAUGGCGAUCCUUAAGAACAGACAAACUGGAUAAGGUACAUCAGCCUGCACCAACUGAAUAAGGGCAUGAUCUAAGAUGGAAAUAUGACUCAAGAUUCUUGUUUUAAGUCUGGGUACACUUUAUGUUCAACAAAGAAAUUAUCUAGGCAUUUAUUUUUUUUAUGUGUUUGGUCAUGGAGUGAUAACAGAAAAAUCAACUUUGGGUCAUGGUUAACCAACUAAGAACAUGGCCUAAUUUUCGGUUUAAGCAAUCAAACUACCAACCUUCUAUCAGCACAUCAUAGAAAAGCAAACACAUAUAUAACACCUAAAUAGGUUACCUAAAGAAUGGAGGACAACUGAUAGAGCUGGAGUGCCCGAUCUUUCGGUGAGUGGAGAUAAUUCCGAUUUGGUGGAAGUAGACCCUCACGAUCCGACUACGACGAGCGAUCCCGAAGCGCCAAUGCAAUCGCUAAACCAACUUCCAAUGGUUACCAACCUUGCUGAUGCGAGAUCGGCCUGAUCACGAAGAUCGUUUCCUGUGCGCAAUCGAAGAACGAACAAGAAAAAGAUGCGAGCAAUCUUAAUAUCACUCGAGGUAAAGUUCUGAAUCACAGAGGACAACACGUAUUUGUGCGUGUUCUGGGGUAGCUAAAGCUAGAUGUAGAACAAAACUCCAAAAACAAAGGAGGCACAGCUCCUAUAUAAAUAGAGAGAGGGGGCGCAGCCCCUAGGGGCGGCCAACCCUAGGUCGUCCACUAUGGGCCGCAGUUGGGCUGGUCGUCUAUUCUUCUGGGCCCUCAUUCUUCAGUAGCAUGACGAAGUUAAG
RNAcentral lists this long non-coding RNA (7967 nucleotides) under Zea mays. RNAcentral describes it as "long non-coding RNA (ZMAY_LNC004800)". The record is from RNAcentral. Lineage: Eukaryota; Viridiplantae; Streptophyta; Magnoliopsida; Poales; Poaceae.